CGUGUAGGCGGCCUGAUAAGUCAGAUGUGAAAGCCCCGGGCUUAACCUGGGAACUGCAUUUGAUACUAUUGGGCUAGAGUUCGGGAGAGGAAAGUGGAAUUGCUAGUGUAGAGGUGAAAUUCGUAGAUAUUAGCAGGAACACCGGUGGCGAAAGCGGCUUUCUGGAACGUAACUGACGCUGAGGCGCGAAAGCGUGGGGAGCAAACA
RNAcentral lists this ribosomal RNA (207 nucleotides) under uncultured bacterium. RNAcentral describes it as "partial 16S ribosomal RNA". It matches the Rfam family "Bacterial small subunit ribosomal RNA", at positions 568 to 774 of the family's 1533-position model. The record is from RNAcentral.